GUCCCUGCCUGCAGCUGUGGCACGGCAAUGACCUACAGCCCGUGCUCCUCCCAUUGAUGUGGGUGCACGCAGACUUUGCAGGGUCCAAGCUCUGCAUUUUAGUACUCAUUUUGAAUGAGUUUUCUUUAAAUCACGUUUAUUUUCGAUGUUGGCUUUCUCGGGACCGCAUUCAGGAUCUGAGCUUUCUGCAUCAGAAUCCAAGACAACUCCUCAUUUUGUUGAAGAAUUGUCCAGAAAUGAAGAAGACUUUCCUGUCAGAGGGAGAUUUCUCUGCCAUGGAUCUCAUCUGGGUUCUGGAAACUACUGUUCCCCUGAGAAAAUGAAGGGAAUAUGGACCUCUCCAGGAGUCAAAUUUCUGUCUUUUGCAUACCUGCACUGAUUGGGCUUCCAAGGUGGGAGAUUUCUUACCUUCUCCUUUGGAUAGUAACAGCAGAGCAUUUGUUUGGUCCACCUUGCCCAGGGAGGAGGCUACCAUCAGCACUAGUGGGCAUGCAGGUUCAGAGAGAUGGGCAGGAUCUGCAUGAGCCUUGAACCAAGACUGCUGAACACAAUGUCAGUAGGUGUUUUGCUUGACUUUACACUCCAUGUUUGGGCAUGUUUGAAAGCAGGCAAGGCAGUUGACUGAAUGCAUUCAGAUCUCCAGCCCAGAGGAGAUGACAAUUUAAUUUUGAAUCACAGAAUCACAGAGUAACACAGAAUCACAGAACUGCAGCGGUUGGAAGGGACCUCAUGAAAACGAAUCCAGCUCCCCUGCUAAAGCAGGUACCCUACAGCACGUUGCAUAGGUAGGUGUCCAGAUGGAUCUUGAAUAUUCCCAUAGAAAGAGACCCCACAACCUCUCUGAGCAGCCUGUUCCCCUUACUGUAAAGAAGUUCUUCUGCAAGUUGGUACAGAACUUCCUAUGUUCAAGUUUUAGGUAAUUGUUCCUUGUCCUGUUGUUACACACCACUGAGAAUAGACUGGCCCCAUCCAUUUGCCUUUGACCUCCCUUUAGAUAUUUAUAAACAUUUAUCAGAUCUCUCCUCAGUCAUUUCACCAGGUGAACAGACCCAGGUUACUCAGACUUUCCUCAUAUGUGAGAUGGUCCAAGUCCUUUACCAUCUUUGUGGCCCUCCACCAGUCUCCUUCUAGGAGAUCGCUGUGUUUUUUGAACUGAGGAGCCCAGAACUGGACACAGUACUCCAGAUGUGGCAUCAUCAGGGCAGAGUAGAGGGGGAGGAUCACUUCUGUUGACCUGCUGGCCAUGCUGAUGACCAGCAGGAUGAGCUAAAAAAAAUAGGAGAUGAGGUUGCCCAUAGAUGCAACCCUCUUGGAGCUUCUCUAAAACAAGCCCAUCUGUUUGCUCAUAUUUACCCUGUCUGGAUGAUGCUACAGACUUUUUUGCAGCUAUCAUUUCCCAGUGUUGUUGAAUUCAGGGUGGAAAUAGUGGUGAGAACAUUUUCCUGGGACUCUUCCUCCCCUCUGAACUGAAAUGGAGCCCACCCCUGGCAAGAGAUGGGCAGGUGGAAGACAGCGUAAGUGUUGUGUGGAAAGGGACACUGACCUGCUCUGUCGUCUCUGAUGAAUUACUUCCACAAAGCAGCAACGUGGUUAUCUUUAACAAGAACUUUGUCCAGCACAGCGAGGCUUUGCUUCAGCUUCGCCACUGUGGAAUACUCUCAUAACUUUAAUUCAUAUCAGGGGUCGAUUGUGAGUUUAAAUAUAUGCAAUGCACUUUUAAGUCUUGUGCAAACAAAGACCAGACAGGGACUGGGACAAACUGAUGCAUGAGCAACCAUGUUGUUCCUUCUCCAGUCCAAGAACUGGAUUCUUUCACAAAAUCCUCUGUGUGGCAGUGAUAACAAGACAAAUAUUUGACAUAGCUGUAAGAUAACACUCUGACACACUAGUAAACACAAGUGAAUUAGUGGUUAUGAGAGAGACCCCAUGACACAGUUGCUUGCAGUAAGUUGGAUGCCAUCUCUUAGAAGACUUCUUGCAACCUGUUCUUAUCGGUUUUUGGUACAGAUUAAUGGGGAGUCUUCCAGUAGGAUUUGGGUUACUGUCUGGCAUAGACACUUUUGAAAAUCUUACCUUAUCUCUAUGUAAUGACUAUGUAAUUCAUGCAGUGUGUUGAAGGUACACUUGAAAAAGUAGGUCUGGAUCGUAAUAUCCCUCCCUGCAUCCUUCUUUCCCAUCAGGCCAAAAUGGCACACCUCUGUGUGUGCUGGAUUACAAUUUAUGCUGAAAAUGUUCCACAAAGGUCAUAGCAGCUAUCUGAGGAACAAGCAGAGCUGUGCACCCUGCCCUGUGCUCAUGUAGAUUACCAGAGGUAGCAAUAAGGCCAGGGACUGUGUGCAGUAAGGAAAACUAGAGAAACUUGGAAACUGCGCAGGCUUUAGAUUGUAGAGUGUUACCAAGGGCUCAGAUGGGAGAGUUUACCAGAAGAAGUGCAAUUUAGAAAUUGAAACAGAUGGAAUUUCAGUAUCCUUUGCAAAUUGGCGUAUCAGACUCCUACAAUAGCUUGCAGAAUCCUUGUCCCUCCCAGUGCAUAGCUGGUUCUUACUCCCUGAACUUGAUUUGUUAACAUCUGAUGUCGAAGGGUCUGUUUCUUAUUUUUGUUGAGUUAUACCUUAAAUGUGUCCUUUUUGGCUACUUAUGUUCUCAUUUCUGCAAAGCGGCAGCCAAGCAGGGGCCCAAGAGCUCAUUCCUGGCCUUCAGAUUUAUUCCCAUCGCUUUGAUGGGUUGAGUCUGGUGCUGCCUGUAUUGCAGAGCACCUGGAUGGGGCGAUCACAGGCAUUCACUGGCACUGUGAUCUCAGCUGUGGAAACAAUUCUGCUGGCAGCAGAAGCUCAGUUUCACUGGGGAGGGGCCCAUAUUUCUUGUUUGAAGUGUGUGAAGCCUCAUCACAGUUCUGUUAUCAGACCCACUGGAAUUUUUUCCUUUCCUCUCUUCUUGGUCCACCUUCUCUCAUUCCUCUAAAUCUUACUUUACUUCUGCUUCUUCUCAAAGUCCCUAAUGUUACUUUUCUGGCUCUUUUUUUCUGUAAUCUCUCCCUUCAUUUUUUCUUCACCCAUUAGCUCUUCCUUCACAAUGCUCCUCUACUGCCUCCUCCAUUUUCUCUGCCUCUCUUGUUCACUUUCCAGGUGCCUCUCAUUCUUCUCCCCAUGUCCUCACUUUCAUUUCUUCUCCAGAAGCUCUCUGAAUUGCUGCAGCUAUGGGGUAUACCCCUUGGAAAGAUAGCCCUGUCUGAGUUAGAGGUGCUGUGAGCUGCAGGUCUGUUGCUGAUGUUAGUAUUUUUUUUGACAAGUGACACAGGUGACACAAGUGACACAGGGGGCCCAUGGAGCCAAGUAGCGUAGCUGGGCAGUAGAAGGCAGCUUAUGCCACAAAAGACAUCACUUGCUCCAUGGACCAAAAGAGAUUACAGCCCCAUUCCGACACAUAAACCAUUGAGGUUUACUGAAAAUAAGGAUUGAUUUGCUGGGCUAUUUAGAGGCAUUAAGAUGCAGAUAUAUAUUUUCUCCCCAGUCUGAUGUCAUUUUGCAUGUUAACUGCCUAAUUCCUUUUAGCCUAUUGAUUUUACUGGUUUAUAAGAAUGACACUUGUGUAGAAACUGUGGAGAACUUUGCUCAGGGUGACCAGUGAAGACUGUCAGUUUCUCUCAGUCGUCUUAUGGGGGGACUGAAGGCUCAGCACAGUUUAAGAGGAGAAAAAAUAGGGAGAGAAAGAACAAUGGCACUUCAUAGACCAUACUCCUUAGGUUGUAUCUGACUCUGGCUAAAUGACCUGGACUGAAAAAUGUUUUCCUGAGGCUCAGCUCAGCUGACAUCUGCAGCAUGGUCCUCAUAUUUUGUGAUAGUCGAGAGUGGUAUUCAUGAAAUUCUGUGUCAACUUCUUUAGCAUAUUAAGAUUGAAGAAUGCUAUGAAGUAAGCAUGAAUAUCAUUAUUCAAUUUCUCUUCCUUCUAGUAACUCUGAUUUACUUCAGAUUUUACGUGAUCUCCCAAUUAUCAGAGUUUGAUGUGCCACAGGUGUUUCUAUAAGCAUACUGUUGUAUUGCUUUUCGUUCCUUGGAGAACAGUUGAUGCUUUGCCAAUGUCUGAAUGGACCUGCUAACUCUGAGAGCAAAGAAGUGGUUAAUUUGAUAAUAUUUAACUUGCCAAACCAUUCAUAUGCAGAGGUAACGUGCUCAGGAGUUGAACAGGGCAGUGCGAUCUCCCUUAGCUAUCAUUUCAGGAUGCCUGCAGAAUCAGGAAGGCCGUGUAUCAGCUUACACUCAACUUGGUAAUCUUGCAUGGGGCCUGUUUGUGUCUCUUGUGCUGAAGGCUGAAUGUAAAAUGAACAUUGUUAGCCAAGAAAGCAAAUAAAGGGAACUAUUUCCCAAGGCAUUUUACUCUGUUUAUUUAACGCCUCUGAACAAACCCCUUUCCACAUCCUCUGAACCUACUGGCAACUUCAGAUAGCUCCAUUUCCUGCUGGGUGAGUUUUUUCUAAAAUGUUUAUUCAGCUCCAGGAAAUGAUGAUUUCCUGAAUAUUCUGAAACUUCAUAUUUUUGUUGUAUCCCUGUUUAUUUAAUAGUCUUACUUAUUGUGUGAGUGUGCAAAGCACAACAACAUCCCUUGCCAUGUAACUGUGGAAGGAGUGGAACUUGAUGUAGUACAUCAAAAACCAGUUUAAGUGAAACUAGAUCUGUUUUUGCCAAUUUAUACACUAGUGUAUUUCCAUUAGCUUGAGUAGUUACUCCUUAUUUACACUGACCUUAAUGAGUUCGGAAGUAGGCUUUUAAAUUUCUCCUACUCCUUAAGAAAAAGUGCCUAAAAAUUCAAACUAGUGAAGGAGAAUUAAUUAGCCCAAAGCUCAACAUUUUAUAAUUCACAGCUUACAUUAAUGUCUGCUAGUUUUCUUUAUGCAGGAAACCAAUAGAAGGCACCAAAUGUUUUCGUCGCCCUCCACUGGGACUAAAAUUGAGAAAUUCUUAUUUUCUGAGGUCAAAGCUAACCUGUAUCCAGCACCCCAUCCCAACAUGGGUUUCACUAAAGAGAUUGAAACCUGUACACAGCCUUAAUGAAAAGGCCAUAAUAUUUUAUGUGAACCAGGAGUAACUAUGCUGAAAUGAGAAGUGCUUCACUAAGGUAAAUCAAGUGGGAUUGGUCCCAAAAGAAAUUCAGGAAUUACAUAGCUUUGCCAUUAACCUUGAACUGAGCCAAGUGUGUCUUCCAUGCUUUCUCCUUCUUUCUUGUCUACUUUUUGUUAACCUGCAUGGUCAGCUAUGACUUUUUUUUUUUUUCUUUUCUUUUUACAGGCAGAAAAGGUAAUUUAUGUUUCUUCUGAGCCUCAAGAGACAAUAUGGGCAUGCUGCGUUACCAUGCCCUAAAUGAAAUCUUAGAGUACCUAAGUAAAACUCACUCCACCCUUACCUGGAAGUUCCACUCAUGGAAACCACAUCCUUUCAUUGCCACCCACGUCUCCAUUCGGAAAGGACUUUGAAGGAGGAAGACUGAAGAUUAGAUCAUUCUUUUAUUAAGCAUCCUUUUGUCUGUUUUGCUCCAGAAACCAUGCUCUUCCUCUCCUAUGAGUCAUUUGUUGUUACUCUUACAACGUCUGUGGUAGGAAGGCUGGGUGCUUUCCCCCAAUUUAAAAUGUUCUUUUUAGAGUCUCUUCUCUUCUCUUCUCUUCUCUUCUCUUCUCUUCUCUUCUCUUCUCUUCUCUUCUCUUCUCUUCUCUUCUCUUCUCUUCUCUUCUCUUCUCUUCUCUUCUCUUCUCUUCUCUUCUCUUCUCUUCUCUUCUCUUCUCUUCUCUUCUCUUCUCUUCUCUUCUCUUCUCUUCUCUUCUCUUCUCUUCUCUUCUCUUCUCUUUUUCUUCCCUUCCCUUCCCUUCCACUCCCUUCCCUUCUCCCUUUCCUCUCCUCUCCCUUUCUCCUCCCCUCCCCUCCCCUCUCCUCCCUUCCUUCCUUCCAUGUCCCUUCUUUGUUUUUUGUUAUGCAUUUCAUAUUCAUUCACUAUUUUUACCCAAUUCAGACAGAGCCAUGCUACAUUGUGGACUAUUGCCAAAAAUUCUGCCAGUGACAAAGAUUGAAGCCUUCAUACGAACUGGAAGGAGUCUGUUCUUGGUCCACCCCAUGUGAAGCAACACUGUGCCCAUGCAUCUCUAUCUGAGAUGAAUAUUCUUUCUUUUGAUGCCAAGUAUUUGAUGUCCACCUACUGAGCUGAGUAAUCUCUGAGGAUGCCAUUGUUGCCAUGUUACCUCCUUCCUGAGUUCCUGUUGUGUAACUUUCCCACCAAUGUCUAUACUGGAUGGUGAAAAGAAGAAUGAAGACGAGGCAGCCAGUGCUGUCAGCUUUUCUUCCACCUGAUUCAGGCUUUGGCCAUGCCCUGUAUCUGCUCCAGAAAGCCAAGGCUUCAGAUGAAGGAUGGAAGAAGGAAAGCAGGAGGCUGGGAAAUGAUUUUGGUCAUGUCCACGCUGGCAGGGCCUGAAUCUUGAUAUGUUUGCUGUAUGAUACUACCACAAUUCCUUAAGGAGUAACAUGAUAGUUUUCUGCAGAGGAAUGUUUUCUGAACAUGGCCAAAAUAUGGCAUUUGGAAAAGUGAGCUGCACAUCAUUUCUCCAAAUGAGAAUGCAAAUAGCGGAGAAUGCAAAUAGCUGGCCUUUUAAAGCCUCCCUGAAAAUUUCAUAGACAACUCAGAUCAAUAUGAUUUAAAGGACUUCUCUCCUGACAACACUAACCCUAUGGAUAGUCCCUCCCAUGCUGUCUGUGAUCAUCCUACCAGGCCCUGCUGCCAGCAUGAAAAAUACAAUAUCAAGUUUGAGGAAAUCUGUGGCAGAAAAUAAUACCAACUUUUGCAUGUACUACUGAGUAACUGGACUCCAAAAGUGAAACAGAGAGAGUGACAAGUAAUGAUGGACAAGAAAAGGCUCAUCCCUUAGACACAAAGCAAGCUCCAAGAUCUGCUCUUCCUACUUGUGUUAUAUUUACCUUGUCUUUCUGUACUGUGGAGACACAGGAACUCACAGGGCAUGGUGAUCCAAGCUUGCAAAUGGAAACAAGGUCUACAGUCUCGGUGAGGAAGCUGGCAUGGUGGGGUGUGUUAAGGCCCACAACAUAUUACAUGAUGAUGGAUUGAUGGGACCACAUCAAGGGGCCCUGAGAGCAAUGUGGCUCUUUGGGUAAGAGGAGAUGGCAGAAUCAGAGGAACAUCGUUAGUUAACCCACCCACAGUGCGGGAGAGACCUCAAAACCAACAAACAAUAGGUUAGAAGCUCACAGCUGGAGGUGGCAGCCCCAUAAUAACACCAGUGACAAAAAUCAAAGGAAUAAGAAGGAGCAGUUAACAUUUCCUCCACAAAUGCUAAAAACAGCACCAAAUAAUGUGUAUGAAUCAUCAUAUCUACUCUUACGCAAGCUGGAAUAAAAAUGUAAGAGUCAUGCAAACUGGGAUAAACUGUCACGCUCUGAGACAUAAUGCAUCUCCAGAAGUAAAGAAGAAACUGUUCCACAGGAAGAAGUGCAGCAUCAGAAGAUGCUAGAUCCCUUGCAGGAGGAGCUGACAGCACGGUGAUCAUCUUCUGGAUCUGAAGUAGGUCCUGUGAUAUCUGGCAUUUUCUUCAUUUUUCUUUAACCUUGUGACUCUUCAACCCUGCAGAGAUUACUUAAAAAGCAAGAAACCUACUGAAGACAACAUCAAAACAAAUAAAAAUAACAGUUUAAAUUAACAAAUCACUGAAAAACUGAGAAAACACAUGAAUUUUAAGCUGAUCCCAUGAUUGCAAAGACUGGAAUCGUGACUUGGAACUCUUGUGUUCGAACACAGUGGCCUGCCCUGUGUGAUUUGGAGGGCAAGCACCAAAUGUUUCAUGAGCCUGGUGCAGUCACAGGGCUGAGAUACACAGAUAUUAGGUCUAAUGGUGAAAGCUGCCCAGCAUCUGUCAUUCCCACAGAAGCCAAUGGAAACGGCAAGCACUCAGCUCUGAAGGAUCAGGCCUUUAAUCAUUAAUAUGUUUC
This 7979-nucleotide long non-coding RNA is filed under the name Gallus gallus (chicken). RNAcentral's name for it is "lncRNA (ENSGALG00010004523.1)". Lineage: Eukaryota; Metazoa; Chordata; Aves; Galliformes; Phasianidae. The record is from RNAcentral.